Molecule: transfer RNA, 72 nt
Filed under: Caudoviricetes sp.
Lineage: Duplodnaviria; Heunggongvirae; Uroviricota; Caudoviricetes
Description: tRNA-Lys
Rfam family: tRNA
About the family: Transfer RNA (tRNA) molecules are approximately 80 nucleotides in length. Their secondary structure includes four short double-helical elements and three loops (D, anti-codon, and T loops).
Source: RNAcentral
GGCGAUAUAGCUUAAUGAGGUAGAGCGCAUGACUUUUAAUCAUGGAUGCAGGUUCAAUUCCUGCUAUUGCCA